UACGAAGGGGGCUAGCGUUGCUCGGAAUCACUGGGCGUAAAGCGCACGUAGGCGGCUUUCUAAGUCAGGGGUGAAAUCCUGGAGCUCAACUCCAGAACUGCCUUUGAUACUGGAGAGCUCGAGUCCGGGAAGAGGUGAGUGGAACUGCGAGUGUAGAGGUGAAAUUCGUAGAUAUUCGCAAGAACACCAGUGGCGAAGGCGGCUCACUGGUCCGGUACUGGACGCUGAGGUGCGAAAGCG
Molecule: ribosomal RNA, 240 nt
Filed under: uncultured bacterium
Lineage: Bacteria
Description: partial 16S ribosomal RNA
Rfam family: Bacterial small subunit ribosomal RNA
Source: RNAcentral